RNAcentral lists this long non-coding RNA (281 nucleotides) under Lathyrus oleraceus (garden pea). RNAcentral's name for it is "Pisum sativum (pea) long non-coding RNA (PSAT_LNC033481)". The record is from RNAcentral. Lineage: Eukaryota; Viridiplantae; Streptophyta; Magnoliopsida; Fabales; Fabaceae.
AAACCCCGACAUAUUUCGACUUUGGUGAGCAGAAUCACACAAGCAUCUAUUGUCAAAAACCAAAGAAGAGCAUGCAUAACAUCUGAGAAUCGUGUUCUAAACCUUAAAGGAUAAGAAGUUGCAUGUUAAGUUGUUAAAGUUUGAAUUUUGGUUGAAUGAAGUGAGUUUCCUUAGACAUGUAAUUUCUAGAAUGGAAUAAAAUUGGAUUUGUAUAAAGUAGACACAAUAUUGCAAUGGAAGACACCUAAGUCGGUAACCAAUAUCAGAAGUUUAUGGGCUUG